This 506-nucleotide ribosomal RNA is filed under the name uncultured bacterium. Its description in RNAcentral is "bacterial SSU rRNA". It matches the Rfam family "Bacterial small subunit ribosomal RNA", at positions 8 to 507 of the family's 1533-position model. The record is from RNAcentral.
AGAGUUUGAUCAUGGCUCAGAUUGAACGCUGGCGGCAGGGCUUAACACAUGCAAGUCGAGCGGGCGAGGUUGCUUCGGUAACUGAGCUAGCGGCGGACGGGUGAGUAAUGCUUAGGAAUCUGCCUAUUAGUGGGGGACAACAUUCCGAAAGGGAUGCUAAUACCGCAUACGUCCUACGGGAGAAAGCAGGGCUCUUUAUGACCUUGCGCUAAUAGAUGAGCCUAAGUCGGAUUAGCUAGGUUGGUGGGGUAAAGGCCUACCAAGGCGACGAUCUGUAGCGGGUCUGAGAGGAUGAUCCGCCACACUGGGACUGAGACACGGCCCAGACUCCUACGGGAGGCAGCAGUGGGGAAUAUUGGACAAUGGGGGAACCCUGAUCCAGCCAUGCCGCGUGUGUGAAGAAGGCCUUUUGGUUGUAAAGCACUUUAAGUGGGGAGGAGGCUUACCUGGUUAAUACCUGGGCUAAGUGGACGUUACCCACAGAAUAAGCACCGGCUAACUCUGUG